GGAUUGUCACUCAGUGGUAGAGUGCUUGCCUGGCACGUGUGAGACCCUGUGUUCAAUCCUCAGCACCA
RNAcentral lists this transfer RNA (68 nucleotides) under Marmota monax (woodchuck). RNAcentral's name for it is "tRNA.Ala". The record is from RNAcentral. Lineage: Eukaryota; Metazoa; Chordata; Mammalia; Rodentia; Sciuridae.